GAAAUUUUUUUUUUAAAAAGAUCAAAGUAUAAUGUUUAUUUUCUUGAGGGUUUCCCUUCUUUAAAAAUUAACACUCUUUCAUCAAAGUAAUAGAUUUUUUUAUAAGAAUUUUCCCUUUUUUGUUAAUUCUACUCAAUUUUACCUAGUUUUUCGUUACAGAAUUAUGCACUAUAAAGAAGAAUGUUUAUUUUCAAAGAAGGGAAAACCUCAAGAAAAUAAAAAGCUUUUCAGAAAA
Culex quinquefasciatus (southern house mosquito) is the source of this 235-nucleotide long non-coding RNA. RefSeq lists it as uncharacterized. NCBI's taxonomy places the organism in Eukaryota, Metazoa, Arthropoda, Insecta, Diptera, Culicidae. The transcript is spliced from 3 exons. The record is from RefSeq and is a predicted model, not a curated record.